This is a long non-coding RNA of Populus nigra (black poplar), 379 nucleotides long. RefSeq lists it as uncharacterized. Lineage: Eukaryota; Viridiplantae; Streptophyta; Magnoliopsida; Malpighiales; Salicaceae. The transcript has 2 exons. The record is from RefSeq and is a predicted model, not a curated record.
GGCUGGACAUGAAGUCUACUGUUGUCAAAAAAGACUUGGAGAAAUCAUGGGAUUUCUUCAUCGCUCUUUCUACCAACAAAGACUGCCCUGAUAAUCGGCGUGGGCGGCGAGCUCUGUUGGUGGCUUUGGCUGCGCAAUUUGAGGCUAUCAGAGCAAGUAAGAAAAUACGCAAGAAAAUGCAAACAGAUCAAGAAGAAAGAGUGAAAAGGAGAUAACCAACACCCGUGAAGCCCGAUCAACCAUAGAUAUAUUUCUUAUUCGUUGGUAAUUAUCAUUUUGCACUUUUGAAAAAAAAAUCAAAUGCUUUCUUUCAAGGAGAAUUGUGAUCUUUUGACAUUGUUCAUCAAUCAUUAAAGGAUUAAUGAUUCGGGAGUAUAAA